This 497-nucleotide ribosomal RNA is filed under the name uncultured bacterium. RNAcentral describes it as "partial 16S ribosomal RNA". It matches the Rfam family "Bacterial small subunit ribosomal RNA", at positions 28 to 507 of the family's 1533-position model. The record is from RNAcentral.
GAUGAACGCUGGCGGCGUGCCUAAUACAUGCCAGUCGAGCGAACAGACGAGGAGCUUGCUCCUCUGAUGUUAGCGGCGGACGGGUGAGUAACACGUGGAUAACCUACCUAUAAGACUGGGAUAACUUCGGGAAACCGGAGCUAAUACCGGAUAACAUGUUGAACCGCAUGGUUCAACAGUGAAAGACGGUCUUGCUGUCACUUAUAGAUGGAUCCGCGCCGCAUUAGCUAGUUGGUAAGGUAACGGCUUACCAAGGCAACGAUGCGUAGCCGACCUGAGAGGGUGAUCAGCCACACUGGAACUGAGACACGGUCCAGACUCCUACGGGAGGCAGCAGUAGGGAAUCUUCCGCAAUGGGCGAAAGCCUGACGGAGCAACGCCGCGUGAGUGAAGAAGGUCUUCGGAUCGUAAAACUCUGUUAUUAGGGAAGAACAAAUGUGUAAGUAACUAUGCACGUCUUGACGGUACCUAAUCAGAAAGCCACGGCUAACUACGUG